UUAUAAAAGAUCAAACAAAUUUUUAUUUGUAAUAUACACAUUUGAAAAAAUAUGACUAAUAUUCUCAAUUCUUUGUAUGCUAUGAUCCUCUUUCUUUUUCUAUUUGCUAUUGCAAAUGAAGUUAGGGGUAAGACUUUUUUUCUUAUUUUAUUUUAUUUUAUACACAAUUCAAUUUCAAUGACACUUUUUUUCUUCUUGUUUUACAUAUCAGCAUUUUUCGAAUCCUGCAACUCGAAUUCUGAUUGUUAUCCAAAUGAUUGGUGCCAUCUUCCUAAUAAUGCAACGUGUUACAUUGGUCACUGUUUCUGCGUAUAGUUACUUGCUCUUAUUUUUUUUUUCACAGCUACAAAAGCAUAUUCAAUAUAUCUUAAAAGAACUACAAUUAUACUGUUUAAUUAAAAUUAUCUACAUCAAUAUAUAAACAGAAAUGGUCAUGUAAAGUAAUUAUAUAUAUUUAUUCUAUUUUAUAUGUUUAAUAUAGGCAUAACAUGUGCAAUAUAAAAAGAAACAAUAUUAUUGUGUAUUAAAAGAUGCUAAAUUAUUUUGGCAAAAACUAUGAGCUUUUACAAUUUUAUAGUAAGAAAAAAAUGAAAAACU
This 597-nucleotide long non-coding RNA is filed under the name Lathyrus oleraceus (garden pea). RNAcentral describes it as "Pisum sativum (pea) long non-coding RNA (PSAT_LNC000279)". Lineage: Eukaryota; Viridiplantae; Streptophyta; Magnoliopsida; Fabales; Fabaceae. The record is from RNAcentral.